AUCGUAUAGUGGUUAGUACAUUGCGUUGUGGCCGCAAUAACCCAGGUUCGAAUCCUGGU
Molecule: transfer RNA, 59 nt
Filed under: Stegodyphus mimosarum
Lineage: Eukaryota; Metazoa; Arthropoda; Arachnida; Araneae; Eresidae
Also listed under: 1 other name
Rfam family: tRNA
About the family: Transfer RNA (tRNA) molecules are approximately 80 nucleotides in length.
Source: Rfam by way of RNAcentral